AUUGAACGCUGCGGCAUGCCUUACACAUGCAAGUCGAACGGCAGCACGGGUGCUUGCACCUGGUGGCGAGUGGCGAACGGGUGAGUAAUACAUCGGAACGUACCUUAUCGUGGGGGAUAACGCAGCGAAAGCUGUGCUAAUACCGCAUACGCCCUGAGGGGGAAAGCGGGGGAGCGAAAGACCUCGCGCGAUUAGAGCGGCCGAUGCCUGAUUAGCUUGUUGGUGGGGUAAAAGCCCACCAAGGCGACGAUCAGUAGCUGGUCUGAGAGGACGAUCAGCCACACUGGGACUGAGACACGGCCCAGACUCCUACGGGAGGCAGCAGUGGGGAAUUUUGGACAAUGGGGGCAACCCUGAUCCAGCAAUGCCGCGUGAGUGAAGAAGGCCUUCGGGUUGUAAAGCUCUUUUGUCAGGGAAGAAACACCGGCUCUAACACAGUCCGGGAAUGACGGUACCUGAAGAAUAAGCACCGGCUAACUACGUGCCAGCCGCCGCGGUAA
This 500-nucleotide ribosomal RNA is filed under the name uncultured bacterium. RNAcentral describes it as "partial 16S ribosomal RNA". It matches the Rfam family "Bacterial small subunit ribosomal RNA", at positions 29 to 523 of the family's 1533-position model. The record is from RNAcentral.